GACAGAGGGGGCAAGCGUUGCUCGGAAUCACUGGGCGUAAAGGGCGCGUAGGCGGGAUGGCAAGUCAGUCGUGAAAUCUCUCGGCUCAACCGAGAAACGUCGGCUGAUACUGCCGUUCUUGAGGGAUGCAGAGGAGACUGGAAUUCCCGGUGUAGCGGUGAAAUGUGUAGAGAUCGGGAGGAAUACCGGUGGCGAAGGCGGCAUCCUGGACCGACAUUGACGCUGAACGGCGAAAGCUAGGGGAGCAAACGGG
This 253-nucleotide ribosomal RNA is filed under the name uncultured bacterium. RNAcentral describes it as "partial 16S ribosomal RNA". It matches the Rfam family "Bacterial small subunit ribosomal RNA", at positions 524 to 776 of the family's 1533-position model. The record is from RNAcentral.